RNAcentral lists this ribosomal RNA (253 nucleotides) under uncultured bacterium. Its description in RNAcentral is "partial 16S ribosomal RNA". It matches the Rfam family "Bacterial small subunit ribosomal RNA", at positions 524 to 776 of the family's 1533-position model. The record is from RNAcentral.
UACGUAGGGUGCAAGCGUUAAUCGGAAUUACUGGGCGUAAAGCGUGCGCAGGCGGUUUGGUAAGACAGAUGUGAAAUCCCUGGGCUCAACCUAGGAAUUGCAUUUGUGACUGCCCGGCUAGAGUGUGUCAGAGGGGGGUAGAAUUCCACGUGUAGCAGUGAAAUGCGUAGAUAUGCGGAGGAACACCGAUGGCGAAGGCAAUCCCCUGGGCCUGCACUGACGCUCAUGCACGAAAGCGUGGGGAGCAAACAGG